AUUUUAAGACUUCCAGGUGAAGCGGUGCAAAGGAAAAAAGCACCAAAAGUUUAAAAACUUUCAAGUACUAUCUCGAAUCUGGAAAAUAGUUGGAGACUAUCCAUGAAAUUUUCCCAGAAAACGAAUCAAAGAAGUUCAGCAGAAGACAAGAAAGUGCUCAAUAGUUCUGAUUCAUUGAUUUCUCCUCCUCCCCUCCUCCAAAAACAAUAAAAAAAAAAUCCCACUAAUUAGACCUUCCAUUUGAAGCCCACCGCGAUUUUCUCAAGUAUAAUCAGCAUCGCAAUGGAUGAGUUUGAAUUUCGACGUAUUCUGAGCUCUUCCCAAUUGUCCGACCUCGUGAUUAUUGCCUUGAUGUGGAAUCUUCGGGGCAAUCAACUUCUCAGUCUAAAGGGAAUAAGAAGGUAACUAAACUGCUGGAUGGGGACGAAAAA
This is a non-coding RNA of Coffea arabica (coffee), 431 nucleotides long. The record is from RefSeq and is a predicted model, not a curated record. Lineage: Eukaryota; Viridiplantae; Streptophyta; Magnoliopsida; Gentianales; Rubiaceae.